GUGCCAGCAGCCGCGGUAAUACGGAAGAUGCGAGCGUUAUCCGGAUUUAUUGGGUUUAAAGGGAGCGUAGGCGGCCUGUUAAGCCAGCGGUCGAAUGUCAGCGCCCAACGUUGGCAUGCCGUUGGAACUGGCGGGCUUGAAUACACACAAGGAAGGUGGAAUUCGUCGUGUAGCGGUGAAAUGCUUAGAUAUGACGAAGAACUCCGAUUGCGAAGGCAGCCUUCUGGGGUGCGAUUGACGCUGAGGCUCGAAAGUGCGGGUAUCAAACAGGAUUAGAUACCCUGGUAGUCCGCACAGUAAACGAUGAAUGCUCGUUAUGGGCGAUAUAAUGUCCGUGACCUAGGGAAACCAUUAAGCAUUCCACCUGGGGAGUACGCCGGCAACGGUGAAACUCAAAGGAAUUGACGGGGGCCCGCACAAGCGGAGGAACAUGUGGUUUAAUUCGAUGAUACGCGAGGAACCUUACCCGGGCUUGAACUGCGACUGACGGAUGCAGAGAUGCAUUUUCCCUUCGGGGCAGUUGUGGAGGUGCUGCAUGGUUGUCGUCAGCUCGUGCCGUGAGGUGUCGGCUUAAGUGCCAUAACGAGCGCAACCCUUGCCGCCGGUUGCCAUCACAUGAUGGUGGGCACUCCGGCGGGACUGCCAUCGCAAGAUGCGAGGAAGGUGGGGAUGACGUCAAAUCAGCACGGCCCUUACGUCCGGGGCUACACACGUGUUACAAUGGGGGGCACAGCGCGCCGCUACCCGGCGACGGGAUGCGAAUCGUGAAAUCCCCUCUCAGUUCGGACCGGAGUCUGCAACCCGACUCCGCGAAGCUGGAUUCGCUAGUAAUCGCGCAUCAGCCAUGGCGCGGUGAAUACGUUCCCGGGCCUUGUACACACCGCCCGU
This 888-nucleotide ribosomal RNA is filed under the name uncultured bacterium. RNAcentral describes it as "bacterial SSU rRNA". It matches the Rfam family "Bacterial small subunit ribosomal RNA", at positions 505 to 1397 of the family's 1533-position model. The record is from RNAcentral.